GUAGGGUCCGAGCGUUGUCCGGAAUUAUUGGGCGUAAAGGGCUCGUAGGCGGUUUGUCACGUCGGGCGUGAAAACUCAGGGCUCAACCCUGAGCGUGCGUCCGAUACGGGCAGACUAGAGGUAUGCAGGGGAGAACGGAAUUCCUGGUGUAGCGGUGGAAUGCGCAGAUAUCAGGAGGAACACCGGUGGCGAAGGCGGUUCUCUGGGCAUUACCUGACGCUGAGGAGCGAAAGCAUGGGGAGCGAACAGGAUUAGAUACCCUGGUAGUCCAUACCGUAAACGUUGGGCGCUAGGUGUGGGGACCUUCCACGGUCUCCGUGCCGCAGCUAACGCAUUAAGCGCCCCGCCUGGGGAGUACGGCCGCAAGGCUA
Molecule: ribosomal RNA, 371 nt
Filed under: uncultured bacterium
Lineage: Bacteria
Description: bacterial SSU rRNA
Rfam family: Bacterial small subunit ribosomal RNA
Source: RNAcentral